RNAcentral lists this ribosomal RNA (405 nucleotides) under uncultured bacterium. Its description in RNAcentral is "partial 16S ribosomal RNA". It matches the Rfam family "Bacterial small subunit ribosomal RNA", at positions 32 to 526 of the family's 1533-position model. The record is from RNAcentral.
GACGACGCUGGCGGCAGGCCUAACACAUGCAAGUCGAGCGAUCGGCGGACGGGUGAUUAAUGUAUGGGUCUCUGCCCGAUUGAGGGGGAUUACUACUGGAAACGUUGGCUAAUACCGCAUACUAUCGGAUGAACCCAUUUUGGUUUUGCUAGUAGGUGGGGUAAAGGCUCACCUAGGCGACGAUCUCUAGCUGGUCUGAGAGGAUGAUCAGCCACACUGGGACUGCAACACGGCCCAGACUCCUACGGGAGGCAGCAGUGGGGAAUAUUGCGCAAAGGGCGAAAGCCUGAGGCAGCCAUGCCGCGUGUAUGAAGAAGGCCUUAGGGUUGUAAAGUACUUUCAGCGGGAAGGCGUUACCCGCAGAAGAAGCACCGGCUAACUCCGUGCCAGCAGCCGCGGUAAUUC